Long non-coding RNA from Oncorhynchus tshawytscha (Chinook salmon), 319 nucleotides. The record is from Ensembl. Lineage: Eukaryota; Metazoa; Chordata; Actinopteri; Salmoniformes; Salmonidae.
UAUUUUUUUAACUUUCUGAGAACAGAACUGAAAGUGUCACCUUUUCUGUGAAAGUUUAUUUUUAGGUUGAGGUUCUGAGAACGUUUUACUAUGGUUCCAGGGAGGUUCUGAGAACGUUUUACUAUGGUUCCAGGGAGGUUCUGAGAAUGUUUUACUAUGGUUCCGGGGUGGUUCUGAGAAUGUUUUGCUAUGGUUCCAGAGAGGUUCUGAGAAUGUUUUACUAUGGUUCCAGGGAGGUUCUGAGAAUGUUUUACUAUGGUUCCGGGGAGGUUCUGAGAAUGUUUUCCUGGGAGGUUUUAUUCACGGUCUGAGAACAGAA